RNAcentral lists this ribosomal RNA (535 nucleotides) under Marinomonas sp. E34. Its description in RNAcentral is "bacterial SSU rRNA". It matches the Rfam family "Bacterial small subunit ribosomal RNA", at positions 90 to 620 of the family's 1533-position model. Lineage: Bacteria; Pseudomonadati; Pseudomonadota; Gammaproteobacteria; Oceanospirillales; Oceanospirillaceae. The record is from RNAcentral.
GACGAGCGGCGGACGGGUGAGUAACGCGUAGGAAAUCUGCCUAGUAGUGGGGGACAACAUGUGGAAACGCAUGCUAAUACCGCAUACGCCCUACGGGGGAAAGGAGGGGAUCUUCGGACCUUUCGCUAUUAGAUGAGCCUGCGUAAGAUUAGCUAGUUGGUGGGNUAAAGGCUCACCAAGGCGACGAUCUUUAGCUGGUCUGAGAGGAUGAUCAGCCACACUGGGACUGAGACACGGCCCAGNCUCCUACGGGAGGCAGCAGUGGGGAAUAUUGGACAAUGGGCGCAAGCCUGAUCCANCCAUGCCGCGUGUGUGAAGAAGGCCUUCGGGUUGUAAAGCACUUUCAGAAGUGAGGAAGGGUGACUGGCUAAUAUCCAGUUAUCUUGACGUUAGCUUCAGAAGAAGCACCGGCUAACUCUGUGCCAGCAGCCGCGGUAAUACAGAGGGUGCGAGCGUUAAUCGGAAUUACUGGGCGUAAAGCGCGCGUAGGUGGUUUGUUAAGUCGGAUGUGAAAGCCCAGGGCUCAACCUUGGAA